Molecule: long non-coding RNA, 4823 nt
Filed under: Homo sapiens (human)
Lineage: Eukaryota; Metazoa; Chordata; Mammalia; Primates; Hominidae
Description: non-protein coding lnc-TMEM185B-1:8
Source: RNAcentral
AUCCGGAGCCGGGCGGCUCGCCCAGGAUACGGAGCCCGGCGGUCACGGGGGAGAAGGUAGCUGUCGGGCAUUCCCCUGGCGCUGAAGGGCAGAUUGCUGACGAGCCUGGGAAUCUAAGCACAGUGGGCUGAACAUCUGCUGGGACAAGGAUGGGGCCAGAGACAGAUCACUCUGACUCACCACCCUGCCACCAAACUAAUGUUUGAAAGCUCUAAAUUUAUUCAGCUUAUACUGAAAGGAAAUGAAGUCUAUGUCCAAAUAGGAAACAAUGUGGAGUACUGCUGUGCUGUGCCUUCAUUACCUGAGACUACAGCAGCCUGCAUUCUCCACCGGGCUCGGAGGAGUGCAGAUGCCUGAGCUAUGCAGUGUGAUUCAACAAUUCCAGUUGGACGGAAAAUACAGCUGUCUUUUUUACGGAGUUGAAGUCAAAUCUACGUGCAGCUUUUUUUACCUACAAAUAAUGGACAAGCUCCUGAAUCCAACAUAUUCUAGCUGAAACGGAUCCCAGGACGGAAUGCUGGAGAGAUGCGUAUUCCAGCUACAGGCCCUCAGAGCUCAGUGAAACGAAGUCUCAGUAUGUUGCCCAAGCUGGUCUUGAACUCCCGGUCUUAAGCGAUCUCCUUGCCUCAGCCUCCCGAGUACUUCUCAGUUUUCUAUACAAAUCUCUCAUCUAUCCCUAACCUCUCAGUGGAGAAACUCCAAGAUGAACCCCAAAGAUCUCCAUCUCCAGCUGUUCACACUCCUAUGUAAUCUCUAGCCCUUGGGUGUGGAAAGGACUUGUGACUUACUUUAACCAACAACAGAAUAUAGCAAAGAUGCCUAAGAACUGCAAAUGAGAAAUAAUUUUCUCACCUGGUCACAGCAUCUACCAAGAAUGGCGCUGGGGGAGAGAUCAGUGAGAUUCCAUCUUUAUUACCAUGUCCCUCCUUCCCUGUCAAAAGCAUUUCACAUCCCGCAAGUCCAUUAGACAUGGCACCACUCUGCUGUGGGAGAUACACACACAACUAAAUACAGGGUAACAAUACCUGCCUGGUCAGCACUUCAGCUCCAAAUCAAGCUUCACUAAUGACUAUGAGAUUAACGAAGAUGGUUUUGAUAAUUAUGACUGUUUGUUUUGUUUUUCUUAACUAUUCUUCAUCUGAGACUUUUACUUUUGUUUCUGCCAGCAUCCUGACAAACAUUUACAACCAGAAAGGGUAAGCCACUAGCUUGAAGCCAUUAAGUUAAGUUCAGUUAACAAGGCUUUGAUAACAACCCUCAUGUUUUUAAGGAAAAACAAAGAACCUAGUAAUCCUUUAGGCCUUACCCUGAAAGGGUAGCCAGAAGAAAAAUCACAAAUAACAUGAACUUACCGGAACAAUCCACCGGGGUGUGAUCAUGGAUGUGGAAGACACCUGAAAUAAUUUUAUAUGUAUGUAUUUACUUUUUGGAAAGACUGACUUAUUUUCAUACUUAUAAUACUUACUUACAUCUAUUAUGAAAUCCAUUCUAGGAGGGCAAUUCUUAAUUCUUAAUGGUGUUCCUUGAGCUGACAUGGACUUCUAAAUCCAAGACCCUUUUCUGUUAUACAACACAGAUGCUAUCCCUCACCACUUAAGAAAGUGUCAUAAUUUUGAGAAUCUCUUAUCUAAAAAUUUACCAUUCAAGAAUCUAUUACUACUUUCAGUUCACUUAAUAGGACUGCCCCUACCUCACACCCAGUAUUCAGUUUAACAUUUUAUUUUCUGAAAUUUCAGUUAAUUAAUUACAAAUAAUGAUAGCCUUCUUGGUAGCAGCCUGAACAAUGGAUUGUGACUAAUCCAAAUAAAGAGCAACAAGAAAGUACACAGAAAAAUAAUCUGUUUAGAUACAGAUCAUUCUCUAAUUAUCAUGUAUGCAUGAAGAAAGCGCAAUAAAAACACCCAUAUUGCUCCUGGUUCACAGGGCCUUUGAUACAUUAUUUUUAUAUGUUUAACUUUCUAUUAUAGGUCAUCUAUGUGUAGAAUUAUAAACUAAGGAAACCCACCCAUUUUACUAGUAAUUUAGACUAGUCCUUGCAUUGGUGGCCUUACAUACUCAUAAGAAAAAACUAAUGUAAGUCCAGGUAUUAGUAAAUUAGAUAACCACCAAAAGAAUAAAAACACAGGCUGGGCGCAGUGGCGCACGCCUGUAACCCCAGCAUUUUGAGAGGGCGAGGUGGGCAGAUCAUGAGGUCAAGAGAUCAAGACCAUCCUGGCCAACAUGGUGAAACCCUGCCUCUACUAAAAAUACAAAAAUUAGCUGGGCAUGGUGGCAUGCGCCUGUACUCCCAGCUACUCGGGAGGCCAAGGCAGGAGAAUCGCUUGGAGGCGGAGGUUGCAGUGAGCUGAGAUCACGCUACUCCUGGCAAAAAAGCAAGACUCCAUCUCAAAAAAAAAAAACCCACAAAAUCUGACUUUCCUACCAAUACUUUUUAGAUGCAUGUUAACAGCAGGAAAUAAGAGAGAAAAAAUAUCAUAAAUAAUAGUAAACAAAAAAUAGUUUGACAGACUUUUCCACACUUGCAGUUAAUUCUUAUCCUUGGUAAAGUCUUUGUUUAUUAAUCUAAGCUGGUCAUUCCCAACGGGUGGUUCCCAGACCACAUCUGCACCACCUGGGAACAUGUUAGAAACACAACUUUUCAGACCCCACCCAAGAUAUACCAAAAUUAGAAACUUGGAGGUGGGGCCCAGCAAUCUUGUGUGUUAACGUCCCCUCCAAGGGAUUCUGAUAUACACAAAAAUUUGAGAAUUAAUGAUCUAUGCAAACAUUCAGUAUCAUGUGUAUUUCCAAGCCUUCAGGAUGGCAUCUAGCCCCUACAGCAAUUCUCGUCAUAUCACUCAUAAGGUACAAAGUUAGUCAUUUCUGUUUUUUUUUUUUUUUUUUUUUUUUUUUGAGACGGAGUCUCACUGUGUCGCCCAGACUGGAGUGCAAUGGUGCUAUCUCGGCUCACUGCACGCUCCAUCUCCCAGGUUCCAGCAAUUGUCUUGCCUCAGCCUCCCGAGUAGCUGGCGCUACAGGUGUGCACCACCACCCCCGGCUAAUUUUUGUAUUUUCAGUAGAGACAGGGUUUCACCAUGUUGGCCAGGCUGGUCUUGAACUCCUGACCUCAAGUGAUCUGCCCACCUCGGCCUCCCAAAGUGCUGGGAUUACAGGCGUGAGCCACCGUGUCCAGCAAAGUUAGUCAUUUCUAUCUCUCUCAUCCCUGGAGGGAAGGAACUGUUUCAGUUGGCCCUCCAUAUCCAUGAGUUGUGCAUCUGUGGAUUCAACAACUGUAAAUCGAAAAUAUUUGGAGGGAAAAAAAGGAUGGUUGUGUCUGUACUGAACAUGUGCAGGCUUUUAUUCUUGUCAUUAUUUCCUAAACAAUACAAUAUAACAACUGUUUACCAGCAUUUACACUGCAUUAGAUAUUAGAGGUAAGCUAGAUUAUUUAAAAUAUACUAGAGGAUAUGUGUAGGUUAUAUGCAAACACUACACCAUUUUAUAUGAGAUUUAAGCAUGCAUGGAUUUUGGUAUCCAAGGGGAGUCCUGGAACCAAUCCCCCACAGAUACUGAGGGACAACUAUACUUAAUACAGUAUCUUCCAGACUGUAAUAAUGAUUGAUAUGUUCAAUGCCAUUCUUACGCUCUCAUCUUUCUAUAAAACUUUUUAAAAAAUUAAAUAUAUCCUUAUUGUCUCAAGAAACUGCUUUAUCCCCAUGUUUUCUCUCAUUUAAUAUGAUGUUGAAUUAUAAAAGGCUUAUAGAGACAUGUGAUUUGUAGACAGUGAUACACAAAUUCAAAGUGGUAAAAUUUUAGGACAGAGAGGCAAUGCUAAGUGGUUAUUAAAACAUAAACUCUUAUCAAAUGAAAAGUUUAACUGAAUUAUUAAAAAGGAAAAAACUGGAAUCUAGCAGGAACAUUUUUCAAAACAGAAAUUUCUUUCCAUCAUACUAUUUUAAAGCAUAUUUACCUGAGGUGCAACUGUGUGAUCAAUUAGAUUCUCAGUUAGAGAUGCAAGCAAGGCAUCCAAUUCAUCUGUAGCUUCCUAUGGAAGACAGGAAUCUAGAAUUGUUAAAUGACCCCUUUAUCAUCAGAUGUUAAGUUUUUUCCAUAUCCUCUCAAUUUAUAAUUCUGACACAGGCCUGAUUAGUGUUAAUCCUUUAAAUACACAGGGACACUCAUAAAUCAUGGUUGUUAAUGAUUCCACUUCUGCAUGGAGGGAAACCUAUACUACAAUCAGGAUGUGAAAAAGCUGAAGUGCUAUGUAAAUUUUCAAAUAGCUAUUCUCCUUUGGUAAGACAAAACUUGGGUAGGGUUAUGACUAUUCUGGCUCUUAACUUUUUCUUUUUAAUUACAAAAAAAUUAUUUUGGCUGGAUGCAGUGGCUCACACCUGUAAUCCUAGCGCUCUGAGAGGCCAAGGCGGGAGGAUCCCUUGAGCCCAGGAGUUUGAGACCAGCCUGGGCAAUAUAGUGAGACCUCAUCUUUACAAAAACUGAGCUAAGCUGGGCACAGUAGCACUCAGCUGUAGUCCCAGCUACUCAGGAGGCUGAGGUGGGAAGAUCACUUGAGCCCAGGAGACAGAGGCUGCAGUGAGCCAAGAUUACACCACCGUACUCCAGCCUGGAUGACAGAGUGAGAUUCUGCCUCAAAACAAAUUUUAAAAAAGUAAAUACAGCCGGGCACUCCUGGCUAACACGGUGAAACUCCGUCUCUACUAAAAAUACACAAAAUUAGCUGGGCGUGGUUGCGGGCACCUAUAGUCCCAGCUACUCGAGAGGCUGAGGCAGGAGAAUGGCAUGAACCCGGGAGGUGGAGGUUGCAGUGAGCCGAGAUCGCGCCACUG